RNAcentral lists this unclassified non-coding RNA (208 nucleotides) under uncultured Sebacina. RNAcentral describes it as "sequence contains ITS2". The record is from RNAcentral. Lineage: Eukaryota; Fungi; Basidiomycota; Agaricomycetes; Sebacinales; Sebacinaceae.
GUACGCUCACACUCUCUGAUCCUUUGGAUUUGGGGAGCGGUGGACUUGGGUGCUUGCUGCUUUCCUUGUGGCUCACCUCAAAUGCGUCAGUGCAUCUCUUGAUUGUACAUAGUACGGCGUGAUAAGUGUCUUCGCCGGCACCUCAUAAGAGGGUGGCCGAUCGGGAGCUCUGUGCUUUCCAACCGUCCGUCUUCGGACACUCCUGACA